UUUUCGGCAAUGGGGGAAACCCUGACCGAGCAAUGCCGCGUGAAUGAUGAAAUUCUUCGGAAUGUAAAAUUCUGUUGUGAGGGAAGAAAGGUAGUAUCAGGAAAUGGGUAUUACUUGACGGUACCUUACUAGAAAGCCCCGGCUAACUAUGUGCCAGCAGCCGCGGUAAUACAUAGGGGGCGAGCGUUAUCCGGAAUUAUUGGGCGUAAAGCGUGCGUAGGCGGCCGUUUAAGUCUGUCGUGAAAGCCCACAGCUUAACUGUGGAGGGUCGAUGGAAACUGGAUGGCUUGAAUCUAGAAGAGGUAAGUGGAAUUCCAUGUGUAGCGGUAAAAUGCUUAGAUAUAUGGAGGAACACCAGUGGCGAAGGCGGCUUACUGGUCUAGCAUUGACGCUGAGGCACGAAAGCGUAGGUAGCAAACAGGAUUAGAUACCCUGGUAGUCUACGCUGUAAACGAUGAGCACUAAGUGUCGGACGUAAGUUCGGUGCUGUAGUUAACGCAUUAAGUGCUCCGCCUGGGGAGUACGGUCGCAAGACUGAAACUCAAAGGAAUUGACGGGGACUCGCACAAGCGGUGGAGCAUGUGGUUUAAUUCGACGCAACGCGAAAAACCUUACCAGGCCUUGACAUCCCUAUGACCGCUCUAGAGAUAGAGUUUCCUCUUCGGAGGUAUAGGUGACAGGUGGUGCAUGGUUGUCGUCAGCUCGUGUCGUGAGAUGUUGGGUUAAGUCCCGCAACGAGCGCAACCCUUAUCAUUAGUUGCUAACAUUAAGUUGAGCACUCUAAUGAGACUGCCAGCGACAAGUUGGAGGAAGGUGGGGAUGACGUCAAAUCAUCAUGCCCCUUAUGGCCUGGGCUACACACGUGCUACAAUGGCCGGUACAAAGAGCAGCGAAAUUGUGAAAUGGAGCAAAUCUCAAAAAGCCGGUCUCAGUUCGGAUUGUAGUCUGCAACUCGACUACAUGAAGUUGGAAUCGCUAGUAAUCGUGGAUCAGCAUGCCACGGUGAAUACGUUCUCGAGUCUUGUACACACCGCCCGUCACACCAUGAGAGUUUGUAAUACCCGAAGCCGGUGGCUUAACCGCAAGGAGAGAGCCGUCUAAGGUAGGACAGAUGAUUGGGGUGAAGUCGUAACAAGGUAUCCCUACGAGAACGUGGG
RNAcentral lists this ribosomal RNA (1157 nucleotides) under human gut metagenome. RNAcentral's name for it is "bacterial SSU rRNA". It matches the Rfam family "Bacterial small subunit ribosomal RNA", at positions 362 to 1516 of the family's 1533-position model. The record is from RNAcentral.